RNAcentral lists this transfer RNA (92 nucleotides) under Desulfocapsa sp. Its description in RNAcentral is "tRNA-Sec". It matches the Rfam family "tRNA". From Rfam's summary of the family: Transfer RNA (tRNA) molecules are approximately 80 nucleotides in length. Their secondary structure includes four short double-helical elements and three loops (D, anti-codon, and T loops). Lineage: Bacteria; Pseudomonadati; Thermodesulfobacteriota; Desulfobulbia; Desulfobulbales; Desulfocapsaceae. The record is from RNAcentral.
GCGGGUGUAGUGUAAUGGCAGCACGCAGGCCUUCAGAGCCUGAACGGGGCGCCACCCCGGCCGUGCGGGUUCGAAUCCCGUCGCCCGCUCCA